This 495-nucleotide ribosomal RNA is filed under the name uncultured bacterium. RNAcentral describes it as "partial 16S ribosomal RNA". It matches the Rfam family "Bacterial small subunit ribosomal RNA", at positions 28 to 507 of the family's 1533-position model. The record is from RNAcentral.
GACGAACGCUGGCGGCGUGCCUAAUACAUGCAAGUGGAACGCUGAAGGAGGAGCUUGCUUCUCUGGAUGAGUUGCGAACGGGUGAGUAACGCGUAGGUAACCUGCCUGGUAGCGGGGGAUAACUAUUGGAAACGAUAGCUAAUACCGCAUAAGAGUAGAUGUUGCAUGACAUUUGCUUAAAAGGUGCAAUUGCAUCACUACCAGAUGGACCUGCGUUGUAUUAGCUAGUUGGUGAGGUAACGGCUCACCAAGGCAACGAUACAUAGCCGACCUGGGAGGGGGAUCGGCCACACUGGGACUGGGACACGGCCCAGACUCCUACGGGAGGCAGCAGUAGGGAAUCUUCGGCAAAGGACGGAAGUCUGACCGAGCAACGCCGCGUGAGUGAAGAAGGUUUUCGGAUCGGAAAGCUCUGUUGUAAGGGAAGAACGAGUGUGAGAGUGGAAAGUUCACACUGUGACGGUAUCUUACCAGAAAGGGACGGCUAACUACGUG